Long non-coding RNA from Cygnus olor (mute swan), 3687 nucleotides. RefSeq lists it as uncharacterized. The transcript has 3 exons. Lineage: Eukaryota; Metazoa; Chordata; Aves; Anseriformes; Anatidae. The record is from RefSeq and is a predicted model, not a curated record.
ACAGAUAAACAAGCAUUAUUUGGACACAGUAAAACAAACCCAGCUGCUUCAGGUGAAGAGUAUAUACAGUAUACUUUUCAGGUGCUAUUAGAGAAUACUUUGAAAUAACGAUUAGUGCAGUACAAGAUCAUAGUAGUAGGAGAAAAGCAAGCACAAAGGACUCUCCCUACUUUGUUUUUACAUUUGCAGGUGUGAAAUCCAAACCAGGAAUGCCCAGAGCCAGGAAUGAAACUGGUGACAGAACCAGGAAUACAACACUGACUCCUCGAACUGCUAGCUCUUAACUUUCUAUUACAAAAAACCAUGGCUCUUCAAGUCAAAAUAUUGAGAUGCAACUUAAAAUUUUACUUUAGGGAAUGUGCUGAAGGUCACACAGCCAAAGGGCUGUUUGUACAUCAGGCAUGUUAAUCCUUCUCACUUCUUCUUCUCUUUCAGACUGUGCAUCCCCAGCAAACCACAAGCAGCUGCUUCUCAGCCCAGCAGCACUGUUUCAGCCAUCUCUUGUAGCUCUAGGAAGCCAUCCUGUAGAAGAAGAUGAAACGCCUCUUCCCUGAGCAUUGAGCCCCACGCAGGCAGAAAAGCCAGCAGCAAACAGCACGGUUUGAGAGAGGCAAUCCGAGAUGUCUGGGCUCUUGCAACGGCCUGGAAAUCUGCAUGGCACCAUGCUUUACUGCCCUCACAAGUACAGACUCCGGCCUGUUGUGAAUAAACAUCCCUUUGCAACAGAAGAGAAAGAAGUUUGAUGCCCAUCAGCUAGGACCAUCAAAACACACCGAAAUGCAGGUAAGCACAGACUUUAUCCUAAAUGUACAACUGUUAUUUUUUAACCAGAGGCUAUAUUUAUUAUACCUGCACGUUUAUUAAAGCUUUUAUAUAGCUAACAUACUAAUUCAGAUUCUUAAUUUUGAUACUUAACUCUGUAAGAAAGUGAUGGGUGACACAUUUCUUAUUUACUAAACAACUCAUUUGGGGCCAAACAGUGUUUAGUCAAAAACUGAAACUCAAUUAAACCAUCAGUAUUGUUAUGUUUUCACAUAGUUUAAUAAAACUAUGUGACAUAUUUGGGAUAUGUUAAAAAAAAAUAAAAAGCUAGUUCAUCCAAACAUACUUUGUACUUAAAACUACAUCUUUUCUUAGAGAAUGAAAGGAUUAUUUGUAUUUCCUGAAUGAAAGGGACUGUGGGGACUGGCAACAACUCUGGGGACUCUACAAGUGCUGGAUGUCACCCGCUUACACCUCGCUUUGUUUAUGUAUUGGAAGAUAAGAAACUUUGCUGUUUCCCAUCUCCCAGAUUGCCUGCCAGUGUUGAACGCACUGUCACCGAAUUGAGCUACCUGGGUAUAUGGAAAAACUCCUGCUAUCAAAAGCUGAUUUAACUUGUUGGUAAAUUCCACUUCCAGGUACUCAGGCAGUGAUCUGCACCACAUUCAGUGGUUUUACUAAGGCUUCAGCAGCAAUCUAAUUGCACGUUAAUAUUCUUUUAAUUUAAUCUAAGCAGUAAGUUUGGGUAUUAACAGAGCAUAAUGAUUUGAAAUUUAAGAGUUAAUUUUAAAAAUAAAUUUGUACUUAAAUAUAGAUCACUUUUAAUUUAAAUAUAAUUUAUUCACUCUGCUAUAUAUUUGAAUGUUUGCUACGUCUCCACCGUGAUUUGCCCUGAAAGGCCACAGAACACACACACGUACAAGUACUGUACAAUGACUUUGAGACAUACAUGGCCUCCAUUUUAAAGCAAUUAUCCUGACUGUUUGCCCUCACUGUUUCUGUUGCAAGACUCUAACAGAAUCUCAUUUCCCCACACCUUCUAAUUCACGGUCAGAUUAUCCUUCUUUGCUGGACACCUCUCUCCUUUCCUAGCAUAUUUAUUGAGAAUAAUCUAGCCAUCUCAGCCUUCUUUCCUUGCUAAGCCAUACAAGAAUAGCUUUUUUCCUCUCUUUUCCAAAGGAGGACCAUCCUCCCACCCUUCAUUUUUUCAGUGGCUUUACCUCACUAACUGCUCUUCUCCGCACCUCCUCAAGUUUACAGUCAUCCAUCUUUUAGAUGGAUGACUGAACUGCACACCAGAUAAGGGCUGAACAAUUCCUUGUACAACGGGCAUUAAUCUCACGCCAGAAUAUGCUUUAAUUAAUUCCCCAAGCUCCUCUGAUGGAGGUGAGUGUUCCUGUUUUAUAUGUGAGGAAAAUCUGAGACGUGGUGAGGCUGAUCUGACUUGCCAAAGUGAGAAAGACGGCAGGAAAUGGGGCAACACAACGAACACUCAUGAGCGUAGCUCCAGCUGCCCGCUCUGCCCCAAAGCACACCGUCCUGUGGCUUACACUGAACCAAGGCGGUGUCAGUCUGCUGAGACAGAGAGAAGAGGCUUCAAAGACCAGCCACGUAUUCAUGUGAAGCUUUUGCAGAAUAAAAUCUGUGAAGAAUGGGAAUUUUUUUGGCUGAUUUUCUUCUGCUUUUGAAAGUUUGAUUCCUCGUUUCUCCUGGGUGUGCUGUCAGGUGCUGUAGCAUGCCAAACACUGUACAAUUAUUUCAAGAAGGCAAAGUAUCACUAAGCCACAGUUCAAGAAAUUUAGCAUUACACUGAUGAAUUACUGCAUUUACUUUGGAAGUUGUAUUUCAAUUGCUUUACUACAGUCGUAUUUGAAAGGGCUGGAAUGUUUUUCUUUAAUAUAGGCACCUUGUACGGUGGGUGUGAGGAAGUAUCUGUUAAGGUCUGUUUCCUAUUGACAAAACUGUUUGCUGUUAGCAGUGGCACGAUAUUGGGAGUACGGGUUAGCAAGGCUGAAGGAGACAAAGCUUGGAAAAUGCUAACCACUGAGUCACGGCUUGGCCUUCCCCCAGCUCUGACUUGCCUCCUCCAUUCCCGGCAUCAGGUCCCCCCCUUAAGCUGAGGCAACCUACUACUGGUCCUAAAAGUGAACUAGGACUGCGAGCCAGAACUCAGUCCUUGACGUUUAACCAAAAAUAUGUCGAUGCCACCGUCACAAUUAAAUGAUCAAGUUGACUCCACUUGCUGGAGAUCAGCUGCAUGACACUCACUUAAUAGGAAAGUCUUCAAAUUAAUUCGGUGAGGUCAGACUCUUCGCAGAGCCAAAGCAAAGCUCUUGGCAAGGGACAUUACCUAUCACAGUGCUUUGUCACAAAGGGGAUGUGUAAGGGACAGUGGAGUCCUCUGCCACGCGGCAAGGACAGAAAUGAAGGGGCACCAGGCUGCAAUCACAGAAGACAGCAGAGCAGAGCAAAUGCAACACGUAUAGCAUUUUAAAGCAGAGGGCAAAUUUAGUGCAGGAGAAUAUUAGGUCAGCUGUGGCCAGAAAAGGCAGAAACUGUGUAUGUUUCUUCCAUGCUGGUUCUCCAUUUGACCUGUACUUUGACCAAACCCUGCUCCGUUAUAUGGAGAAAAGUCCGUAUCUCUUUAUACUUUUCGUUUUGCAACCAACACCUGACCUAGCAAAGGCCAGCUGCUCACUCCUUGCCCAGCUGAGCUCCCAGCCGAGCACUGUUCAAUGCGUCCCCUUCGCCAGACACCGAUCCAUCCCCACCCUUCCCCACACGGCCCCGGGUCAUUGUGCUGGAAGCUGCUAAGGGACUGAAGUCAGAGCCAGGGCAUCUGUCCUCCAAACACGGGUACACCAGCAGCCCUGGUGACCCAGACGUGCAGCACGGCCCAGCCCCCAGAUGCACAGCAAGGCCACA